Molecule: ribosomal RNA, 446 nt
Filed under: uncultured bacterium
Lineage: Bacteria
Description: partial 16S ribosomal RNA
Rfam family: Bacterial small subunit ribosomal RNA
Source: RNAcentral
CCUACGGGUGGCAGCAGUCGAGAAUCAUUCACAAUGGGGGAAACCCUGAUGGUGCGACGCCGCGUGGGGGAAUGAAGGUCUUCGGAUUGUAAACCCCUGUCAUGUGGGAGCAAAUUAAAAAGAUAGUACCACAAGAGGAAGAGCCGGCUAACUCUGUUCCAGCAGCCGCGGUAAUACAGAGGUCUCAAGCGUUGUUCGGAAUCACUGGGCGUAAAGCGUGCGUAGGCUGUUUCGUAAGUCGUGUGUGAAAGGCGCGGGCUCAACCCGCGGACGGCACCUGAUACUGCGAGACUAGAGUAAGGGAGGGGGAACCGGAAUUCGCGGUGUAGCAGUGAAAUGCGUAGAUAUCGAGAGGAACACUCGUGGCGAAGGCGGGUUCCUGGACAUUAACUGACGCUGAGGCACGAAGGCCAGGGGAGCGAAAGGGAUUAGAUACCCUUGUAGUC